UACGUAGGCAGCGAGCGUUGUUCGGAGUUACUGGGCGUAAAGCGUGCGUAGGCGGUUUUCUAAGUUUGGUGUGAAAUCUCCCGGCUCAACUGGGAGGGUGCGCCGGAGACUGGGAGACUGGAGUGUGGGAGAGGUAGGCGGAAUUCCUGGUGUAGCGGUGAAAUGCGUAGAUAUCAGGAGGAACACCUGUGGUGUAGACGGCUUACUGGACCAUGACUGACGCUGAGGCACGAAAGCGUGGGGAGCAAACAGG
This 253-nucleotide ribosomal RNA is filed under the name uncultured bacterium. Its description in RNAcentral is "partial 16S ribosomal RNA". It matches the Rfam family "Bacterial small subunit ribosomal RNA", at positions 524 to 776 of the family's 1533-position model. The record is from RNAcentral.